GUCUGGAUGGUCUAGUAAGUUGUUUUCAUACAGUCUUUACGACAACUUUCUAACGAUUUAUAGGUUGGUUAUGACGUCGGUCUCAUAAUCCGAAGGUCGCGAGUUCGAUUCUCGCUCUGGACA
Molecule: transfer RNA, 123 nt
Filed under: Exophiala sideris
Lineage: Eukaryota; Fungi; Ascomycota; Eurotiomycetes; Chaetothyriales; Herpotrichiellaceae
Description: tRNA-Met (CAT) (tRNA-Met-CAT-1-1)
Rfam family: tRNA
About the family: Transfer RNA (tRNA) molecules are approximately 80 nucleotides in length. Their secondary structure includes four short double-helical elements and three loops (D, anti-codon, and T loops).
Source: RNAcentral